UACAGAGGGUGCAAGCGUUAAUCGGAGUUACUGGGCGUAAAGGGUGCGUAGGUGGUUUAUUAAGUUGGCUGUGAAAUCCCCGGGCUUAACCUGGGAACUGCAGCCAAAACUGGUGAACUGGAGUACUGUAGAGGGUAGUGGAAUUUCCGGUGUAGCGGUGAAAUGCGUAGAGAUCGGAAGGAACACCAGUGGCGAAGGCGGCUACCUGGACAGAUACUGACACUGAGGCACGAAAGCGUGGGGAGCAAACAGG
Molecule: ribosomal RNA, 253 nt
Filed under: uncultured bacterium
Lineage: Bacteria
Description: partial 16S ribosomal RNA
Rfam family: Bacterial small subunit ribosomal RNA
Source: RNAcentral